AUUAGAUACCCUAUUAUUAUUAAUGUAAAAUUGUAAACCGGAGUAAUAUUAGUUAUGAUCUUGAAACUUAAAGAAUUUGGCGGUAUUAUAGUCUAUUUAAAGGAAUUUGUUAUGUAAUCGAUAAUCCACGUUGAACCUUACCUAAAUAAAUUCUUGUAUAUCGCUGUUUAUUGAGAAUACUUAUAGGUAGAAUUUUCUAAUUAAAUUAGUAAUUAAAAUUUCAAGUCAAGGUGCAGUUAUAUUUAGGAUGAAUAAUGGAUUACAAUAAAAUUUAUUUAUUAUGGAUAAUUAUCAGUAUUAUAAUUUGAAGGUGGAUUUAAUUGUAAUUUAAAAGAGAGUAUUUAAAUGAUUUAUAGCUCUAUAAUAUGUACACAUCGCCCG
Molecule: ribosomal RNA, 381 nt
Filed under: Neomantis hyalina
Lineage: Eukaryota; Metazoa; Arthropoda; Insecta; Mantodea; Nanomantidae
Description: partial 12S ribosomal RNA
Source: RNAcentral